AAAAGAGGACGAGGCUUACUCCUCAAAUAUGCGAGGCACUUAUGUGUUUGAAGGAUUGGGAAGAUGCUGAUUUUCGAACUCAAAGUUUUGUAGAUGAAGAUCUCUCAUAUUUUGAAGAUGACAGCACAAGUUCCCUUAAUGAAGUUUGUUGAGGAUUAUUCUGGUCAAAGCGUGACCAGCAUAGCGUCAAAACUUUGAGGGUUCAUCACUGUGUUAUCUGGGACUGCUAUAUUGCAUAGUACACGAGGGCCAGAUCCACCUUUAAUUACAGGAACGUGAGAUGACAAAUGCUGAUAUUUUACCCGGUGUCCUAGAUUAAUUUUAUUUUCCUUUUUGUGUAAUUUGGGAGGGUAGUGGUA
Molecule: long non-coding RNA, 359 nt
Organism: Prunus persica (peach)
Lineage: Eukaryota; Viridiplantae; Streptophyta; Magnoliopsida; Rosales; Rosaceae
Exons: 3
Source: RefSeq, a predicted model, not a curated record